Molecule: long non-coding RNA, 1589 nt
Filed under: Pan troglodytes (chimpanzee)
Lineage: Eukaryota; Metazoa; Chordata; Mammalia; Primates; Hominidae
Description: long non-coding RNA NONPTRT007966
Source: RNAcentral
CUGGGGCCCAGGCCCCCCAGCCACCUUGGAGGGAGGCUGGAGUGCAUUGGUUCAAACACGGCUCACUGUAGCCUCGAUCUGGAGCCGCCACACCCGGUCUACUCUUGCAACUUGAUGUUGCAUGUACAGUCGUGUUCCAUUUUACGGAGGAGGACACUGAGGCGCAGAGGAAUGAAGUUUACAUGGUCACUGUCACUUUCUUAGUCCGUUCUGGCUGCCAUAUAUAACAAAAUACCAUCAACUGGGUGGCUUAUAAACAGCAGAAAUUUAUUUAUCACAGUUCUAGAAGCUGGGAAAUUCAAGAUCAAGGUACCAGCAGAUUCAGUGUCUGUUGAGGGCAAACUUCCUAGAUGGCGAUCUUUUCUCUAAUCUCACAUGGCGGGAGGGGCAAGGCAGCUCUCUGGGGUCUCUUUUAUGAAGGCGCAGUGAGAAGCUCAGCAGGUUUGUGAAAAGGAAAAAAAAUACAUAAGGGCACAAAUCCCAUUCACCUAAUCACCAAAUCGCCUUCCAAAGGCUCCACCUCCAAUUACCAUCAUGUUGGGGAUUAGGUUUCAUCAUGUCAAUCUUGGUGUGGUGGGUGAUGGGGUAGAGGGCUGGUCUAUAAACAUUCAGACCAUAAUAAUCAGUAAAUAAACAGGCCCAGGAUCUAACCCAGAUAUGAUCAGUUACAGAGCUAGUGAUCUUCACCAGCCUGGGCAACACGGUGAAACUCCAUCUUUACAAAAAAUACAGGUGGUGUGCAUCUGUGCUCCCAGCUACUGAGGAAGCUGAGGUGGGAGGAUUGCUUGAGCCCAGGAGGUUGAGGCUGCAAUUGCACCACUGCACUCCAGGAUGGGCAGCGGCGUGAGACUCUGUCUCAAAAACAAAAACCAGUGCUCUUCAAAAAUGAAGUUUUUGAAAUGGAAAAAGUAGGCCAGGUGCAGUGGCUCACACCUGUAAUCCCAGUGCUUUGGGAGGCCAAGGCGGGCGGAUCACUUGAGGUCAAGGAGUUUGAGGCCAGCCUGGCCAACAUAGUGAAACCCUGUCUCUACUAAAAAUACAAAAGUUAGCUGGGCAUGGUGGCACGUGCCUGUAAUCCCAGCUACUCUGGAGGCUGAGGCAGGAGAAUCACUUGAACCCAGGACGUGGAGGUGGCAGUGAGCCGAGAUCGCACCACUGCACGCCACCCUGAGAGACAGCGAGAUUUCGUCUAAAGAAAAAAAAAAAAGGUUGGGCGUGGUGGUGGCUCACACCUGUAAUCCUAGCAUUUUGGGAGGCCAAGGAGGGCAGAUCAUGAGGUCAGGAGUUCAAGACCAGCCUGGCCAACAUGGUGAAACCCCAUCUCUACUAAAUAUACAAAAAUUAGCUGGGUGUGGUGGCACGUGCCUGUAAUCCCAGCUACUCUGGAGGCUGAGGCAGGAAUAUCGCUUGAAGCCAGGACUUGGAGGUUGCAGUGAGCCAAGAUCGCACUACUGUACUCCAGCCUGGGAGACAGAUCAAGCCUCCAUCUCAAAAAAAGAAAAGAAAAGAAAAGAAAAAAAAAGUCCAAGCGCUGUGGCUCACACCUGCAAUCCCAGCACUUUGGGAGGCCAAGGAGGGAGGAUCAUCUG